This is a non-coding RNA of Vicugna pacos (alpaca), 4069 nucleotides long. Lineage: Eukaryota; Metazoa; Chordata; Mammalia; Artiodactyla; Camelidae. The record is from RefSeq and is a predicted model, not a curated record.
CCCUCCAGCCGAGCCCGGGAAGGGAGGGGAGGGCAGGGCCCAUCCCCAAGAAACACAGCUCCGGGGAGCGCUGGGGGUCGUUCAGUCUUCACACAGGGCUGUAGGGAGGAUGGGCCUCCUUGUGUCAGUGAGCAAACUGAGGCUUGGAGAGGUUAUAUCCUGGUGGUCGGGCCCCAGGACCCAGGCUUUUAACCCUUGUAGUGCUUGAGCAGAGCUUCCAACCCCAAGUCUGUGCAGUUGUUAGGGGUUGGCCUGGCAGAGUCCCCAAAACUGUCUUCCUUUCUGCGUCAGCAUCUUAUUACUUGUGUAUCCUUAGGUGAGUCACCUUACCUGGUUUAGUUGCCUGUUUCCACAAGGUGUUUGGUAGCUUCUGGGAGGCCAAAGACAAGUUUAGGGGGCUCUCGAUGUUAGGCCCCUUGAGGGCUCCCUCUGUGGUGCAGACAGGCAGGCAGGCUCACUCGGUGCUCUGUGUGCUCAGGGCUCCCCCGUCACCGUCACCGGGGAGACGGUGAUUUCCCGCCCCUACCCUAGGCUCCAAGCAAGUGUCACUUCCUGGCCAUGGAGCUAGUGAUCUCCGGCCCUGUGAGGGAUGACCUCUUCACCCUUCUGCCGAACUCCAGUAUGGGCCUAAAUCAGUUCAAGGAGAUCACAGCAGACGUAGGAGUCCCUGCCGGGUCCCGACGGGUGGCCUUGGAACCUCAACAAACAGUGCCCACCUGUAGGCAAAGGCACUCAGAUCCCCAGCACUUGGACUCUGUUUCCCCUCUGUCAGUGGAAUGAUAAACCCCACCUGCUGAUCCUGGUCUCCACAGUUCCGUCUGCCUGCUCCCCUUUCCCUGAGCAGGGGAGUGGGGUAUGAUGCUUGGUGGUAUCUGGGAGUAGCCGAGCAUGCUCAUGGGGCACACUAUGUCCCUUUGGAACCAGAGUGGACCCCUGGCACCAGGUGUGGGGCCUCUGAGCACUCAGAGGAGUGUCCACUCUGCUGACCCACCAUCAGGGCAGUUCCCAGAUCUGCUCCCUGCUUACCCUCCCCCAACGCGUGCUCCACUCCUUUUGGGCUGGCUCGUUUAUACAGCCAGUUUCUGUUUUCGGGUGGUUUCCAUCUUUUGGUCCUUGAGGACAACCCUUGAAACAAGUGGGGCAAGGACAGAUGGCCAUGGUUCGCAGACAAGGAAGCUGAGCCUGGCUACUCAGCAGGUCGGGUCCAGGAUGAGAGCCUGGUCUCCUGCAUCAGAGCCUUUCCACUGCUCCACCUGUGUGGGUCCUGGCUUGGACACACACAUACACACAGGCAGGCAUGAAGGCCAGACACCUGCCUUCUCAGCCCAGAAUUCUGCAGAGUGCCACGGGAUGGGGGCCACUGGGCAGGGCUCCUAGGAGUUACAGGUCAGUCCCCUUCUUUCUGAUCCCACGGCCCUCUGGGCUACUCCCACCUAGGACUCGGGCAGCAGCAGACCGAGACCCUGCCGCCACAGAGUCAGGGCCACCUGCAGCCACCUGUGCUCUUGAGUGGCAGCUGUGGCCAUAGAUAAUCCCCUCCCCUUCUUGGGCCUGGCUUUACUCCUUUGUUAGAUUAGGUGACCCUGACCCCUCUCCCCCUGUCUGAUGUCCUGACUGGUGCUGACACAGCUCCGUGUUCAUGCACUUGCAGUUGGGGGUCAGCUUACCCGCCUCCCCCGGUUGGGGGUGGUGAGGACAGCUGGGUCACAUUCCUCCUGUUACUGAGUAGGGCUUUCCUAGGCUACAGAGCCCCCAGCCCCUCCCCUGGGGAGCAGCAGACAGGCUCUCUAUCACAACAGUUCAGGACAUAGAAAAAGCACUGGACGGAGAGUCACAAGUCCCGGGCCCAAGGCCUGAGUGUGUCACUUACUGGAGAUGUGACUUCAGGCCCUCCGGGCUUGCGUUUGCUCAGCUGUAAAAUGGGGAUAGUAACUCUAGCCAUGCCUGUUUUAUGGGGUGGUUGUGGAAGUCAGAUGAGGUCAUGGGCAUGGAGUGCCCUGCAAACAGCAAAGUCUGGUCCAAUUAUGAGGGAUUACGAUUGCUAUUAUUAUCCACCCAUAGUAACUGCUCUGGCUCGAGAGGCAGCACACGCACAUCCAGGCCCCGAGCCGGGUGCUGAUGGAGGGAGCUGAUAGACAGGGGCGAGUGCCCCUCCCCGGUCUGCACGCUGGCUCACCUGGCACACCUCCCUGGCACCUCUGGGCUGGCUCCCACAGCUCCAGGGAGCUGCCCUGGGAGGGUGGGCAGAGGCGCUGACAGCCGCCCACUGCAGCCUGCGAAAGCCAGGCCUGGGGCAGGGGUGCUGUGUGGCUGCAGAGGGGAAGAUGGGCUUGGGCUGCGGCCCAAGGAGCCUGGCGGAGUUUCCCGGGGCACCUGGCACAAAGGAACUGUUGGGUGAGCCAGAGGAAGGGGUGUGGCUGCCCAGUGGCCCCUUCACCACCGGCCCCACAUGCCCUUCCCGCCGCCCUCCUGGCCACGCCUCGUGCACCUUUCACUCCAGGGCUUCCUGGAGCUGCCAGGCCUUUGUUUAUGCUGCGUCCUCUGCCUGGUAUGCCCUUUCCCUGAUUUUCUUUCCUCCUCUCUGAUCAAAGGCCUGGCUUCAGUCUGCCUUGAAUCACAGAGAGAACCAGCGGUUCUCCAAAUGUGAUCCCUAGACCAGCAGUACCAGUGGUACCUGGAAGGGCUAGACAUGCCACAGCCCGGGCCCCACCCCGGCCUGCUGAGUCAGGAACCUGGCGACGAGACCCAGCAGUCCUUGUUCUCACCGGCCCUCUCGGAGACUUGAAAAGUACAGUGUGGCUAACAUCCAGCCCCGUGCUGCCCCUGGAGGGCAGGGCCCCAGCCACUGCCGUCUGACUCCUCAGGCCUGACUAGCACAGAGUAGGUGCUCAGGACGUGUUUUGUGGCUUGGAUAGAAAGGAAGUUGAGAGUGAUAAGACCUCUCCACAGGAGGACAAUCCCAGAACCUGGAUCAAGCCGGCAGGGGGAGGCGGCCAUGCUUGUGGCCGGGACUGUAGACGUCUGGGUAUGUGGUGUCCUCUGGCGUCGGGCCAGCAUCCCUUCUCCCUGCAGCCUCCCCCACCCUACCAUGCAUACGUUGGGCAGGGAGGGCUGAGCUCUGGGGCUCUGGCUGGGGAGGGUCAGCUGGGUAAAUGUGGCCACAGAAAAGGGAGGGGGAGCCGGGCAGGGAGGUGAGCAGCAGGGAGGCCAGGAGCCUUGGUCCUGGCUCAGAGGGGAUCAUGGAGCUAGGGUGCCAGGCCUCGUGCGGAGGAGGGAGAGGGGAGAGGGAGCAGGAAAGGGGACCAAGAGCACUCCAAGCCUUGGGGCUGGAAGGGCGUCCUCAGAUCCCCAAAUGUGAAUCAGUGUCUGGCCACGAGUGCAGAUCCCGGGCUGGGCCCCUGAUCUUAAGCUCCCCCUUCCCUCUGGCCUCAGAAACAACAGAUGCAUUGAGUGCUGACUAUCUGCCAGGUGCUCUUUUAAGCUCUGUAUUUGCAUCAUCUUAUUUCAUCCUUACAAUUUCUCCAUAAGAUAGGCUCUAUUAUUUUUAUCACUCUAUCCUAUCAAAGACUAAACUGAUGCUCAGAGAGGUUGGGUCAUUUGUCUAAGGCCACACAGCUAGCAAGUGGUGAUGGUCCUGGAAUUGAAACCCAGGCUUCUGUGCCUUUCAGGCUGCCUCCUGUGUGGAGGGGGAUAGAGUGGACGGUGCCUCCCAGCUGUGAGGUUCCAUAGUCCGAUCCACGUUCUUCUGCUGAAGGUUCAAGAAUGUGUAUGUAAACAAAAAGUCAGGAUGGUCAGAGAAAGCUUUUCUCUGUGUAGCUGUGCUCUUACAUGAGGUGGAGGUUGGGGGCACUUCAUCUCCAGCAGGGGUUCACAUACACCGGCUUACAUGCGUGACCAUGGGUGCAUGUGCACACUUGCAUGCACACACACACAAGAUACACGCUUUUCUGUGAAGACACAGCUGGGACACAUUGCUUCUUUCUCUUUCUCCUUUCCUCUCUGUACACAUAGCUUCUCUUUCCUUCUCUUCAGACUUAGGUACCUUUCCAGGUACAUGGUACACAGUAGG